Molecule: unclassified non-coding RNA, 1239 nt
Filed under: Hevea brasiliensis (rubber tree)
Lineage: Eukaryota; Viridiplantae; Streptophyta; Magnoliopsida; Malpighiales; Euphorbiaceae
Source: RNAcentral
UAUUUCUUGCUUUAAAGUCUCAUAUUGUAAGGCUACAAGUAUGUCUGCUUAAACUAUGUCAAAAAAUGGUGAUUAGAAAUAAGCGUCAGAAAUUGACAAAAACAUUGAAACAUUAUAGGCCCUUGAGGAAUUCCUGUCUAGAAUGAGAUUGAGAAGAUAACAUAACAGCAAAAGUAAUUGCAAAAUUGUUUGCAAACAAAUCGGCCAGGAAUUACAUGAGCAAUGUACCAUUUUAACCAAAAACAAAAGGCUACAGUUUGCAAACAUUCAACGGUUGAUAAACCUAAUACACUAUACCCAUUUAUUGAUAUUGCUCAGCUUUGUAUCUAACUUGAGGAUUGCGAAUGUCAUCCUGACUUUGGAUUAACCUGAUCUCCAAACUACUUGAUUGGGGAUCAUAACCAGCUCUUCUGUAGUCAUUCACCGUGCUCUGCAGAAGAGCCUGCAAACUUGAUACGGCAAGUUCUGCUGCCCUGUCAAGGUUGUCAGGAUGUUUCUGGAUGGUAGGAAAAGAAUAUGUUAUAAGAAAUAAAUAUUACAGAGAUGAAUGUCUCAGAAUAAACUUAAAUUGAAAUACAGUGUUGAUACAAUACAUUACUCCAUCCAAGCAGAAGUGCAGUCAUCAGAUCUCCAGUUCCCUACAAGCAUGUUAUGUGAUGUACAUCAAUAGGCAUCUUAGACAAUGCAUGGUACCACUAAUAAUGAAAUCCAUAGAGUUUAAGACUUAGAACAUCAAGAGUAUUAUUCAUAUUAAUCACAAAUUCACAAUUAUGAUGCAAAAUCAAGCAGUUGAUCUAUAUUCCCUCUCCAUCUUGUGCCAUCCCUUCCCCAUUUGUCUUUCAAUUUUUUUCUUUUUUUUGAAAAAAUAUCAAACAUCUGUCACUCUUCUCUGUCCAAGUACAUCCCCACCCUUUUCUCUCCUUCCCCUUCUUUCUUCUCCUCGUUUGCUUGGGCUCUUUUGGCUGGUACACCUUGAUUGAAAUUAUACAUACUCCCUCCGUCUCAUUUCAAGUGAUGUUUUAAAAAAAAAAAAAAAAUUGUCCCACUUUAUUUGCUUUUUUAGAAAAUUAAGGAAACAUUAAUUAUUUUUUUUCCAACUUUACUCUUAUCUAUUGUUACCUCCAAUGCAUUUAUCUCUUCCUUAUCACUUUUCUCUAUCUUAAUUAAAUAUAAGUACUUAAGUCAAUUAUUAGUAUUUUUUUUUCAUAAAAUGAAGUUAUCCAAUCAUUUCUGCAAAAA